Molecule: long non-coding RNA, 1123 nt
Filed under: Eptatretus burgeri (inshore hagfish)
Lineage: Eukaryota; Metazoa; Chordata; Myxini; Myxiniformes; Myxinidae
Description: lncRNA (ENSEBUG00000017114.1)
Source: RNAcentral
GUCCGUUACAAUAUAUAUAGUGAAGCGAUAUAAUACGGCGAACAGCUAAGCUAAACACACCAGUUGUUUGUGAUGUCAUAAAGAAGUUCCUGUUUGCAACGUCAUAAAGAAGUCACCUGUUUGUGACGUCAUAAAGCAGUCAUUCUGCAUUUGCCCUAUAGGUGUUCAGCAGUUAAUGGGGAAGAGAAUGACCGGUGGAGGGUUGUGAUUAUCGUACCUUCUUGUGUUUUCAUCUUAAACGGCCACUCUCCUGGUGACCCCGAGACCAUGAGGCAGAUCGAGCCUCCGGGCUUUGACUGUAAUCGACGCGUGAACAAAGCCCACCAUUGUGGCUUCACGUUGGUCGUUGUUGCUUUCCUGCUCAUCGCAGCUUCAGCUGGAGAAGCCACUGCAGCCAACAUUCACUUGACCCGCACGGUCAGGGCAGAGGACUUGGAAAUCGAUCCAGAAUUGCAGCCAUUGGAGAACUUUCAGCAGGACGUUGUGGAUGAAGGCCGAAUGGAUGGACUCGGUGAUGGCGAGGAUCAGAACACCGUGGAGCAGAGGAUGCGGGGACGCAUUCGUCAGCUGCUCCAAAGGCUGAAAGACAACCGCUUGUGGAACCUCGUGGUGAUUGUGGGGAGCGCCUCGGCUGUGACUCUGAUCAUCAUGGUCAUUGUCGUUUUAUUGUGCAUCAGACGCAAACGUGGAGCGAAGUCAGAGGCUCUGGCAGAUGUUCAAGAAGACAAAGAAGAGGCAGGAGCGAACGAGUCCAGUGUGCUCGAAACAAACGACGAGGCCGAUGAUGCGACAGAGAGUGAUGAGGAGCCAUAACGUCAUUUUGAGCCGUGCCAUGAUUCUCACAAACAUUGAAGAAAAUGUCCAUUUUUGUUUCUGUAUAAUUAAUUGAACUCGUCAGGGUUAAACUCUUAAAAUGUUUUAUUAUAAAGAGCUAGAUCUGGUUGUCAUUCUGUUAUUCCUGUGUAUGCUUACCUUCUCGUAAGCCUGUUUAUUUAUUUACAAUUGUAGUUUGAAUACGACCUGUCCAUAAAAUAUCGUAAACAUAAUUCUAAUAAAAAUCCACCCUUCUGGUCUCUAACCUUUCUUCCUCAUGUCAAUAUCUCAAAUAACCAGCCAUUUGCUA